RNAcentral lists this ribosomal RNA (865 nucleotides) under Biscogniauxia mediterranea. RNAcentral's name for it is "LSU rRNA". It matches the Rfam family "Eukaryotic large subunit ribosomal RNA", at positions 74 to 964 of the family's 3401-position model. The record is from RNAcentral. Lineage: Eukaryota; Fungi; Ascomycota; Sordariomycetes; Xylariales; Xylariaceae.
AUUGCCCUAGUAACGGCGAGUGAAGCGGCAACAGCUCAAAUUUGAAAUCUGGCCUUCGGGUCCGAGUUGUAAUUUGUAGAGGAUGCUUUUGGCGCGGUGCCUUCCGAGUUCCCUGGAACGGGACGCCUUAGAGGGUGAGAGCCCCGUACGGUUGGACACCAAGCCUCUGUAAAGCUCCUUCGACGAGUCGAGUAGUUUGGGAAUGCUGCUCUAAAUGGGAGGUAAAUUUCUUCUAAAGCUAAAUACCGGCCAGAGACCGAUAGCGCACAAGUAGAGUGAUCGAAAGAUGAAAAGCACUUUGAAAAGAGGGUUAAAUAGCACGUGAAAUUGUUGAAAGGGAAGCGUUUACGGCCAGACCUUUUCCUGGCGGAUCAUCUGGUGUUCUCACCAGUGCACUCCGCCAGGUUUAGGCCAGCAUCGGCUCCCGUAGGGGGAUAAAAGCAGUGGGAAAGUAGCUCCCUCGGGAGUGUUAUAGCCCGCUGCACAAUACCCUUACAGGGGCCGAGGACCGCGCUUUUGCAAGGAUGCUGGCGUAAUGGUCGUCAACGACCCGUCUUGAAACACGGACCAAGGAGUCGAACAUUUGUGCGAGUGUUUGGGUGUCAAACCCUCACGCGUAAUGAAAGUGAACGGAGGUGAGAGCCCUCUAGGGGGUGCAUCAUCGACCGAUCCUGAUGUCUUCGGAUGGAUUUGAGUAAGAGCAUAACUGUUCGGACCCGAAAGAUGGUGAACUAUGCGUGGAUAGGGUGAAGCCAGAGGAAACUCUGGUGGAGGCUCGCAGCGGUUCUGACGUGCAAAUCGAUCGUCAAAUCUGCGCAUGGGGGCGAAAGACUUAUCGAACCAUCUAGUAGCUGGUUACCGCCGA